This 20-nucleotide microRNA is filed under the name Bos taurus (domestic cattle). Its description in RNAcentral is "bta-miR-2284m". Lineage: Eukaryota; Metazoa; Chordata; Mammalia; Artiodactyla; Bovidae. The record is from miRBase by way of RNAcentral.
GAAAAGUUUGUUCGGGUUUU